UCCGAGUUGCCCCUGGCAGUCCCCUUAGAGUCCCCGGCAUUACCCGCUGGCAACUAAGAGCAGGGGUUGCGCUCGUUGCGGCACUUAACCCAACAUCUCACGACACGAGCUGUCGACAGCCAUGCAGCACCUGUGUCGGCUCCCCUCGCGGGGUCGGGCCCCUUUCGGUUUCCUACCACCGACAUGUCAAACCCAGGUAAGGUUUUUCGCGUUGCGUCGAAUUGAACCACAUGCUCCACCGCUUGUGCGGGUCCCCGUCAAUUCCUUUGAGUUUCAAUCUUGCGAUCGUACUCCCCAGGUGGAAUACUUAACGCUUUCGCUUAGACGCGUACUGUGUAUCGCACACAUCGAGUAUUCAACGUUUACAGCGUGGACUAC
RNAcentral lists this unclassified non-coding RNA (378 nucleotides) under uncultured bacterium. RNAcentral's name for it is "contains 16S-23S intergenic spacer region". The record is from RNAcentral.